RNAcentral lists this long non-coding RNA (2800 nucleotides) under Mustela putorius furo (domestic ferret). RNAcentral describes it as "lncRNA (ENSMPUG00000024570.1)". The record is from RNAcentral. Lineage: Eukaryota; Metazoa; Chordata; Mammalia; Carnivora; Mustelidae.
AUGUACAACAUGUUUCCAGCAAAACACCCAGAAACAAUAGAUCACAAGUUGGCCAGGCAGAGAGGAAGAAGUAGGCCCCCAGGCUGGAUGCGGGGCUUUAUCCCAGGACCCCAGGAUCAUGACCUGAGCCAAAGGAUCCCGGAGCCGGAUGGUGAUGCUUAUCUCUGCUCCAGCAUCUGUCAAGCCUUCCUAAUUACUCCUGCAGGUGGCCAGAUGGAAUGGGCUCGUGCCCAGGACAGAAAUGUGACCUCAGUGACUAAUGCCCUUCCUUCCCCUGGUACAAAGGAGUCUUCUUUCUGCUCCCUUGCAGAUGUGCUCAACGAUUCUUCUUCUUCCGUGUAUGCUCAGAGAAGCUGAUGUAGGCAAGGGGGCUCUAACUCUGACAUCAGCUGGCCUGGGUUCGAGGACUGGCUCUGCCAUUUAUUUGCUGCCCAACUUUAAGCAAGUAUCUUCACUUCUCCAAACCCAAUUUUCUUCUUUUGUAAAGGUGUAAUUUCACAAAUGCACCAGCCUUAAGUGUACCGUUCCCCGAGUUCAGACAAACAUUUGCAAACAUUACAGAUGUUUAUACUCAUGUAUCCACCACCCGAGUCAAAGCAGAGAACAUUUCCAUUACCUGAGAAAUUCCCUCCUGCCCCUUUCAAGUCCAUUUCUGUAAACGAAAGCAUCCACUUCCCAAUUUCUGUUACCAUAGCUUAGUUCCACCUGUCUUAGAACUUCACAGAAACCAAACCCUGUGGAUCAGCUCUUCUGUGUCUGGCUUCUUUUGAUCAACAUAAUAGUUUUGAGAUUCAGCCAUGUUUUUGGAUCACAGUUUGGUCCUUUCUGUUGAAUGUGUCUCUUGUGUGAAUAUACUCUGAUUUGUUUAUCCACUCACCUAUUGAUGGGUGUUUUCUGUUUGGGUCUGUUAUGAAUAGAACUGUGAUUAACACUCUUGUUCAAAUCCUCUCUGUGUAUGUGUGUGUGUGCACGUGUAUUUUGAUUUUAAGUCCUCUUGGGUGUGUGUGUGUGUGUGUGUGUAAGCAUGUGUGUGUAGGCAUGUGUGUGUGUGCGCACAUGUAUUUGCUGAAUCAGUUCUCCAAGUGGUUGUGCCAUUUUACAUACCCACUAGCAACGUAUGAAGACUGCUGUCUCUCUCCUCACCAACACUUGGUAUCAUCAGUGGAGUGGCAUUCAUGGCAUUGCGUGGAGGUUUUAACUUGUAUGUUCCUGAUUACUAAUGAUGUAAUUAGUGACCAUUUAUGUAUCUCCUUUUACUAAGUUUCAAUUUAAGCCUUUUGCCCAUUUUAACAGUUUGUUAGUCUUAUUAUUAUUGGCUAUGGGUUCUUUAUAUUCUGGGCAUAAGUCCAUUGUCACAUAAAUGGCUUUAAAAAUACUUUCCUACCUAUCUCAACAAUUCAAUUUGAGGACUGUCACAAUGCUGUGACAGUCUAUAAACUUAAAUGAUAGCCUUCCUUAAUAAAAUUCACAAUUCUGCUAUUUGUAAAUAACAGUAAAAUGGGGGCUAAAAGCAUCCAAGGAUGACACAGCAUCCACAGACACAGAGGAGGGGAAGCCCUCGACUUCAUCCCACUGCCUUGGAAAGCCUCCAGUACUGCUGGUCUACCACCAGAUUCUCCAUAUUUUCCGUCUUCCCCAACCCUGCUUCCCCAUCAACUCACAUUAUGAUUAUCACUCCCUCGUCUUAGCUUAAAUACUGGAUCAAUUUUUUUGCUUUGAUCUGACUGCUUUCCUUUUUUCUGAAAUAAUGGGUUUGAGCUUCUUGCAAUCAAAGUUUAUAUUAUUUUCUCAUGUGACUUGCUGCUUAUCCUAAAUCCCUUCCUUAACCCACUUUCCUGCCUGUCCACCUGGUUUGCAUGGUCUUGCUUUUCUACCAAGAGUUGAAAGGUUCUUGUACUCUGGCCCGUUCAUGUGGCUUCAGGCCCUUGGAUCUGUUCUGGGUCCAACCCAUUCUUUAUUCUUUGCAUAUCUGGGCUUGCCCAUGAUGAACCAGACUUGGUGCCUCAUUUCUUACCCCAGAAAUAAUACUGCCAGAAUGUCUGUGGGGUAAGACGUUGAUUCUGUUUCCCCGGAUAAAAUAUUAGCAUGGCCUUAGGCAUCAAGGUCUUUAAUAACGGACUUCCUAUCAUGUUUCCCUAUCUAGCUUUUGUUGUUUUUCAAAUAAAUUUUCCAACAAGAAAAUCCAUUUCUAUUUUUCCCCAUUAAAAGUAUAAAAUAAUAAGCAAGGAUCACAAGAGUUGACCCCUCAUUGCUAUUUCCAUGGCAAAUUACUCCUAGCUAGAAGAAAGAAUCUGGGCUCAUGGGAUGUUUUUUUGUUUUGUUUUGUUUUGUUUUUCACACUCCUCUACAUUCAUUCAUUCAUUUGUUCACUCAGCAUUUACUGAUCACCAGCUAGCUGUGAGUUUCUGUGAUUGGGGCUGAAAAUAUAAGUAAGCCUCAGACAAAAACCCUUACUCUUAGAUGUUCACUGACUGGUGAGGAAAGCCAACAGAUAAAGGACCUUCCUUCUACAAAACAGGAAGGGUUAUAAGGCAAGUGCAUGGUGCUAUAGGAGUUUAGGGGGAAAAUGGAAUAUUCAUUCCAGAAGCCAUCAGGAUUGACAGUGAUGGUGAUCUUUUAUGGAAAAGGUUGUAUUUGAGCAGUGCACUAAAGGACAACUAGAAAUUAAACACAGAAGAUAGGGAACACUGUCAAUAGAAAUGUCUUUCACCAAACCCUUAAUCUCCAAGAUACCAGAAACAAGUUGGUUAUAAAAAUGAUACCUAGCUCAAAAAGAAUGUUUGAGAGAAACACACAUACA